GCUCACCUUCAGCUUUUUCAGCAGCUCCCAACUCAGCAGCUUCCUUCCAUUUUCCUCCUCACUGCACCGAGGACAAUACUGUUUCAGCAUGCUGAGUAUACCGCAGCGCAGCAUUGCAGAUGUGCAGCACCUGCCAGAAUGACUUCCUUAUCUUCAGCUGGAACCUAAGACAAAGAAAAGAAUUUGCUGUAAUGAGCCACUUAUGGAGAAUUUCAUCUAGAUAUUUGCAGCACUAGCACAAGAAAAGUCAGCAUCAUGACUUUCCUACCAGAGUUAAGGAGAGCACCCAGAGGAGGAUGGGAGCCUUGAGGUCCUGCUUCCAUAUUACACGUGUGGGACUGCAACAGCUGAAAGCAGGGCUGGGGGAUUCCUCGUGUGCAUCCAUCAUCUCUAAAUGCCUCUCUGCAUCCUGGUCUGAAUUCAGCAGCAAGUACAAGCAGCCUGGCUCACCGACAGCAGAUAAAGAAGAGCCAGCAUCCAAACUGGAUCCAUUUCUUUGAAGCUUAAAAAAUGGUCCGCUG
RNAcentral lists this long non-coding RNA (521 nucleotides) under Apteryx owenii (little spotted kiwi). Its description in RNAcentral is "lncRNA (ENSAOWG00000002460.1)". Lineage: Eukaryota; Metazoa; Chordata; Aves; Apterygiformes; Apterygidae. The record is from RNAcentral.